AUCUUUUUUUUUUGCUUUUUGUUCCUAGAUUUUCCGCAUUUUCUGUUCAACAGAGAUUCUUUUAAUUAUUCAAGGUUUUGAGUAUUGUUAAUUUGUCUUCUCACUAAGAGAGCUCAGAUUCCUUUCUCCAGCUGAUUGCCAGCAGCUAUGUCUGCUCCAACUCCUAUCUCAGCUAUAGUUCAUUCAUCAACAUUAGUUACUGCAGGAAUCUUAGUGUUUUUCAAACUGAGGUGGUAUCUGUUUGACUCUUCGUUCGGUGUUCUAUUGGGGGCCUUAUCUUGCGUCACUUUCUUAAUAGGCGGUUUAAUAGGGAUUGUAGAAAAAGAUCUAAAGAAAAUUGUAGCUUUUUCUACUAUAAGGCAAAUUAGUAUAAUUAUCUUCUUUAUCAGCAUAACUUUGCUGAGCAUGGGAUACGCCCACACUUUUUGUCAUGCCCUUUUCAAAACCCUUCUCUUUUGCGGCUGCGGAGUUUUAUUCACCUGAUCCUUUAGGAAUCAGAUAAUUAAAGGCAUUAAAGUGGAUGCAAAAACUUCAUCCAUUAGAUUCUUUAUGGUUUCUGCCCUUUUUGGAAUAAGAGGUUUGAUUUACUCUUCUUCCUUUUUUACGAAGGAUAUUGUCCUAGAGAAGGCGUGUGCAGAUAGGAGGCUUUUUCUGCUUCUGAUACUUUUGACGGGUAGAGUUUUAACCUUGCUCUAUAGAUCUUCUCUGAUAGAAGGGUUGGUGAGCGUUCCUUCAGCAUUCAGUCCUAUUAGAAGGAUUAAAUCCUACUUCUUUUUGCUUAUUUUAUUAUUUAGAUCCUUCUCAUUAAUCGUCUUUAAAAUCCUUAAAAUUUUACUUUGUGAUAACCUUGUUAUUUUCAACCCAUCAGUUAUAACUGGUUUGUUUCUAGUUUUAUUUAUCCUAAUUUUGCUUUUCUUUCCAAAAUUCAGAGCUAAUUUACUUUUAAAAUCAAGGCCCAAUGUUUUCAAUAUAAAAGAUCUUUAUUUCUCGAGAAUAACUUUAUUCUCUAACCCAAACUUCUCUUUAUCCCUCUCUGUUAGGGACCACUACAUAUUUAAACCAGGCUCUUUAAUUCAGACGAUAAGUUCUAGUUUUAAAUAUUCAGGCCUUAAAUUUUUAUUUUUUUCAAUUCUCAUCAUCUUUUUGAUCUAACCUUUUUAGUUUAAAAAGAACGUGNNNNNNNNNNNNNNNNNNNNNNNNNNNNNNNGAUCUUUAUUUCUCGAGAAUAACUUUAUUCUCUAACCCAAACUUCUCUUUAUCUCUCUCUGUUAGGGACCAUUACAUAUUUAAACCAGGCUCUUUAAUUCAGACGAUAAGUUCUAGUUUCAAAUACUCAGGCCUUAAAUUUUUAUUUUUUUCAAUUCUCAUCAUCUUUUUGAUUUAACCUUUUUAGUUUAAGAAGAACGUGGUAUUGAAG
This 1417-nucleotide long non-coding RNA is filed under the name Olea europaea subsp. europaea. The record is from RNAcentral. Lineage: Eukaryota; Viridiplantae; Streptophyta; Magnoliopsida; Lamiales; Oleaceae.